Molecule: long non-coding RNA, 363 nt
Organism: Patiria miniata (bat star)
Lineage: Eukaryota; Metazoa; Echinodermata; Asteroidea; Valvatida; Asterinidae
Exons: 2
Source: RefSeq, a predicted model, not a curated record
AACGCGCGAACAUCAGCCCUUUUCUGCCUGCACACCAAAGUGUGCAAUAUGGAGGCCUAGUUCACAACACAGCCGUACACUUGCCAGGCGUUCGGGGAACUUCGGGGAACCUGAUUAAAAUAUUAGAACCAGUGAAUCUUAGGAACCUCACUUUGAAUUUGGGAACUGUAGAAAUACAACCUUUGUGAUUUAAUAUAUUUUAUCAUUGGCAACUGUGUCACAAUUUAUAGAGCUAGAAACUGAAUGUAUUAUCUGAUCAAUACUUUUUGUAACAGUUGUUUUUGUGAGUUUAAAUUGAGAUCAUGUGUUAAUUUAAACUAUUGUAAUCGAUUUUUGUGAACAAGUUCAUGAGACCAAGCAUAA